GUUAGGAUGGCCUUCAAGUGUGAUGGGCCUUUGGGGACCGAAAAGGUGAGGCCGCAGGACCACAAACCAGCCAUUUGCCACGGCCAUUUGCAGGAUCUUCAAAUUCACUUAAAGUUCUUCCAUUAUUCAAGUGGGGAUGUAAUUUGAGCCCCACUUAAUCACAUAGUUGCUUAAAGUUUAGGCAAAUUGCCAACGCAGGGUUAUUGAAUGAUCUAUGGUAAAUCAAGAAUCACCAGCCUCACUCAAAACGCCUUCAUAUCGGCAGGUAUGCAAUUUGAUUUCCGGGAAGUUAAUAUAGUUGCUUGACGUCGAAGCGAACUGCCUGUAUCGGCAUGCGCGACCCUCCAGAUUCUAUGUGCUACUGGCCCUGAUGGCUCGUAAAUCACUCAAAUCCUCAUCACUUCAUUGGAAUUUUUCGAGCUGAUUUUAUUCCACCGACACAUUUGAGUGACUUUGUGAGCAUCAAUAUGGGCAACUAUGCGUUUAACCACUAGCUUCCUAAUACUUCUGUCAUGCUGGGGUUUGACCAUGGAAGAACUACAACCGACCCCAAAUACAUAUCUUUACUCUGAUGUAGAUGCUUGCACAAGAUAUAACUUCUUGCCGAUCAAUGAAAAAAAUUUCCGGGAAGCCAUUCUUUUCUUCAAUCUUUGCCAGCAGCUCAUACAUGUUCUUCCAGGAGAACAACGUAAAGACUAUGCUAGAUACCUUAGACAUGAGCUUAUCAUGACACGAAAUGAAUUCAAAUCAAAACACGAAAACAAAGAUAUACACAUGGCUUGA
RNAcentral lists this long non-coding RNA (783 nucleotides) under Bemisia tabaci. Its description in RNAcentral is "lncRNA ENSSSA1NGG012634". The record is from RNAcentral. Lineage: Eukaryota; Metazoa; Arthropoda; Insecta; Hemiptera; Aleyrodidae.